Molecule: ribosomal RNA, 834 nt
Filed under: uncultured bacterium
Lineage: Bacteria
Description: bacterial SSU rRNA
Rfam family: Bacterial small subunit ribosomal RNA
Source: RNAcentral
CGGUGUAGCGGUGAAAUGCGUAGAUAUCGGGAAGAACACCAGUGGCGAAGGCGCUCUGCUGGGCCAUCACUGACGCUCAUGGACGAAAGCCAGGGGAGCGAAAGGGAUUAGAUACCCCUGUAGUCCUGGCCGUAAACGAUGAACACUAGGUGUCGGGGGAAUCGACCCCCUCGGUGUCGUAGCCAACGCGUUAAGUGUUCCGCCUGGGGAGUACGCACGCAAGUGUGAAACUCAAAGGAAUUGACGGGGGCCCGCACAAGCGGUGGAGUAUGUGGUUUAAUUCGAUGCAACGCGAAGAACCUUACCAGGGUUUGACAUCCUGCGAAUCUCUUGGAAACAGGAGAGUGCCUUCGGGAACGCAGUGACAGGUGGUGCAUGGCUGUCGUCAGCUCGUGUCGUGAGAUGUUGGGUUAAGUCCCGCAACGAGCGCAACCCACGUCUUUAGUUGCCAGCAUUCAGUUGGGCACUCUAGAGAGACUGCCGGUGAUAAACCGGAGGAAGGUGUGGAUGACGUCAAGUCAUCAUGCCCCUUACAUCCUGGGCUACACACGUACUACAAUGCUACGGACAAAGGGCUGCAAGUUCGCGAGGACAAGCAAAUCCCAUAAACCGUGGCUCAGUUCAGAUCGUAGGCUGCAACUCGCCUACGUGAAGGCGGAAUCGCUAGUAAUCGCAGGUCAGCAUACUGCGGUGAAUACGUUCCCGGGCCUUGUACACACCGCCCGUCACACCAUGGAAGUUGGCCACGCCCGAAGCCGUUACUCCAACCCUUGUGGAGGAGGACGUCGAAGGUGGGGCUGAUGACUGGGGUGAAGUCGUAACAAGGUAACCGUA